UUGAUAUUUUUUCUUCUCUUCAAAGAUGAACAGCUAAUUUUCUGUUUCCUGUUUUCUUCUUGGUAUUGCUAGGUACUGCUCAAAAGGUCUUCCAAGGCAGCCAACUUUUGGGUAUAACUGGCUAAGUAGCAGGAGGUGCAGGGUGUCUUCUACGGGAAGAGGUCAAGAACUAAUAGACACAGCCGGGUCCAGAUGAGUUGGAAACAGAUGGAAACAGCCCACUGCAGACCAAAACUUCAACCAGUCUAAGGACCAUGUGGCACCACUUCUCAGACAUCAGUGAGAAAGAAACCAAAGGAAGAAGUGCAGGAGACACAUGGAAGGAGAUAUUGCUGGGAAUAGAGCUGGAGAUGUGCUCUUGGAAGACAUGUAGUACUACAAGAGAUCUGAGGGACUGUGGAGCCAUAAUACCCCUGUGGCCUUGCAGACUAAGGCAGAGCUGACUGCUGAAACCGUGGGAAUGGAGACUUCCUAGGGGAAAGAAAGGUGUUGAACUGAAGUUGAGGCUGGAGAGGAAAGCUGUUACCUUAGGUGACUGUAAGUUGUAUGUCUAUUUUUCCUCAGUGCCCAAUUCAGUAAUUAAAAGACUAUGUUAACUGGCGAUAAAUCAAAUAAAGUGAAAUUCACCAAGUCAAGAAUGUUUUGUCCAGGACAGUAAUGGAAGUGGAAUUGUAACCUGUAUAUAUUAAGUUCACUAUCUUCUUUUGCAUGUUGACUAAGCCAUAUUAAAUUUGCAAAACAUCUUUAGAUAUAUUUCUUCAUUGUGGUAUUCUCUAAACUGUUUGGACUGACAAUGGUUUCUGAAAGUACUUUUUCUUUUUGUCUCUGGUUCGUAAAAUGACCAUGUAAGAAUUUAUAGAAGAUAUAUGUAUACAAAUAGGUAUGGUUAGUGGAACAUUUGAACAUGCUUUGCUGAACUUGAGUGUCUUUCACAGUCUAAAGACCAGAACUAUAGCCUGUGUGCCUUGACUGCCUAAGUUCACUGGGAACACAGUGCUUGGACAGGCAAAUGCAAGUCAGGCAACUGAAGCAGAAAACAUUAUCCUGAGCUCUCAAUCCAGCCUGUCUUUAGGUUUCCUCUUUCAGAGGCUGAAUGGAUAGCUAACCUCCGUAUUAAUCACUGCUUCAAAUUUCUCUUUAGAUUCCUGGUAUUAAAAGAAACUGUAGAGGAUUUUUAGAUUACCUUAGCAGAGACAGGGAGUAGUGACAAUUAAGCUCGAUGAUAAAUUUACCAGCCAGCAGGUGUGUGGCUAACCAAUUGCUGCUGUAAAAGCAACAGGUUCAUGGGGAAGGAAAUGUGGUUUACAGAUUAGCUGAGAGUAGUAGAAGCUUUUCUUGUUACUUAAGCUAACUUGUGAGUUAUUCUUCAUUUCAGAAAAGGAUCUAAAACAAACACUAGAGUACAGAGAAAGGUGCCUACAGCUAGCCACUGGGAAAUGUAAUUAUGGCUUACUGAAUAUUUUCCAUCUGUUUUAGUUAUAAAGAAUGGUUUCAGAUAUCUGCUCUCCCAGAAAGUGCAUCUGUCAAACUACUGAGAGAAAUUAAAUGACAGAGGUAUCUAUGCUUUGAAGCAUUUUAAAGUAUAGCUUAGUAUAGUUUGCAAAUACCUCUUUUUCAAGGGGCUGUUGCUCAAUCCAUAAUUUAUAAAAAAUUCAAAGCUCACUGAUGAGGACUGGAGCAUGACUUUUUUAGGAUACUCACAUGAGAGAGAGGUCUUGACUUUGUUUUCUAUUCCUAGGAAUUUUUACGCAUCUCCCUGAUUUUAAAGUACAUAGAAGAUACCCAGAACAGAGAGGAGAUCAUAAAACUGUCUUAACUGAAGGGACCAGAACCAUUUCAUUUCCUUAGCUUAUAAAGUAUUUCAACCACUGAGUUGUUACAGUCUUGCAGGUAUAAAUGCUAGAUGCUGUGAUUAGUAGGGAACUUAAUGCUUUGAUGAGUGAUAGGCAGUUGCAUUGAGUUUUAGUUGCUGUGGGACCUCAACAGAAAAUCCUGUAUUAGUCUUGGACAUGUCUGUGUGCAUACUUUGUGCAGGCUUUGAAUACAGUAGACAUUCAAGAGUACCAAUAAAAUAAAAAUGAAAUAAUAAAUAAAAGAGUAAGAACAGUAUAGCUUCUUCAUCAUAAACAAUGACAAGAAUAUUUAUUCACUCCUUUUACUGCUCAGCCCAAGUUGCCACAUGGCCUCAGAAGACCUGACAGUAGCCUCUGAAAUACUCUCAAGGUUACUGCAAAGAACAUUUUCAUAUACUUUGAAAGAACAAGCUAGAGGGAUGAGGGAGCCCCUUUUUCACUGUUUGGAAAAUACAA
This is a long non-coding RNA of Cygnus olor (mute swan), 2309 nucleotides long. RefSeq lists it as uncharacterized. The record is from RefSeq and is a predicted model, not a curated record. The transcript has 3 exons. Lineage: Eukaryota; Metazoa; Chordata; Aves; Anseriformes; Anatidae.